Long non-coding RNA from Homo sapiens (human), 1760 nucleotides. The record is from Ensembl. NCBI's taxonomy places the organism in Eukaryota, Metazoa, Chordata, Mammalia, Primates, Hominidae.
AGGCUAGUGUAAUAAUUCAAGCAGAGAUAAUCGGGAGAAGAUGACUGUAGCUGUAGAAUUUGUGAAAAUUUGUCAGAUUCUGUAGGUAUUCUGGAGGGAGAGAGUGGCCAGAAUAUUUUGCAGAGUGUGAGUGAAAAAGAGUCAGGAAUGACUCCAAAUCUUUUGGAUUGAGGUACUUAAAGGGUAGCGAUGCCAUUCCCUGAGAUUGAGGAGAUUGCGAAAGGGGAAAAUUUGGUAUUGAGACAAGACCAGGAGCUCGGUUUUGGCAUGUUAAGUUUGACAUUACUCUUAGAUACCAAAUUGCAGGUGAUAAUAUCAGGAGCUGAAUACAUCAGCCUAGACUUUGAGGGAGAGGUCUAAGCUGAUAUAUAUGUUUAGGUGCCUUAUUACAUUAAAAAAUUCUGAGGAUGUAGAAAAACAAGAAACAGAACUAAGAAAGAGCCAGGCUGAGAGGUAGGAGAAAAACCAGGAAAGUGUUAUGUCUUGGAAGACAGUGAAGAAAAUGUUUUGAGAAGAAUUUUUUUUCACUGUAAUAUGCAGUAUAUUCUUUAAAUCCUAUAUCUAGGCAACCAAUCUUGAAGAAGUAUUUGGCUGAAUGUCAGUAAUCCAAUAAGCCAAAAAACAUUUUCUCAAUAUAUUAGGUGCAAGUAAAUAGGCAUUACCUAGUCCUUAGCCGCUAAAUUUGAGAUGGUUCUAUACGUUCAUUCUUGCUGAGAGUUCAGGUUCCUGGAAUAAUGCACAGCCAAUCAACCAUCCAUCCUCUCCUCAACCUUCCAGAAGACUGUGAGUCCUGAGAGCAUAGAAACUCUCCUGAUGUUGCUCCCAGACCGUGACCCGUGCUGGCAAAGCUUCUAUUCCCAUGUGGCUGCAUGUUUCAUAAGGAGAGCUACUAAAAUGCAGGAAAGCACAAAGUCUUAAUUGCUUGCUAGUGGGCACUCAGCCAACACGCUGUUAGCAGAAUGAAAUCCAAUCUUAGAGAAAAAGUGCUGAACCUCGGCUCUGGAUCGCCCAAGCCCCAUAUGGAUUGCGUGUGUUUUGGGGGAAGAUUUGGAUAUGGCAGUCUUUUUUUUCACUCUUUUGAAUGGGAAUGUCAAUCUAUGGGUUACUAGAACAUUUUAUUCUUAAUAUAAUAAUCCCAGCUGCAAAACAACAUUAAGAGGGAACACUGCACCUCUUCUCCCCACUUAUGACCUGGACAAUUAAUACAUUCUCAUUUUUUGUGCUUCUCUGAAAAUACUACUUUCAAUGCAAUUUCCAACCAAAUUGUUACUUUGAAGAAUUCAUACAUAGUCAUUCUGAAACAUCCCUGCCUUGUUCUGUUGUUUGCUAUUUGAUCUUUGAUAAUUAAUCUCCCUAAAUCUCAGUUGACUUAUCUUUAUAAUGGGAAAAAUAAAAAUGCUUUCCUGACAGGGAUGCUGUGAAGACUCAAUGAGAUUCAAAGCUCUUGGCAGUGUGUGGCACAAACAAUAAUGUCCAAUAUAUGUUAACUCCUAAUUUUAUUGCUAAAAAUAAUAGUCUAAUAGAUUUCUCACUGUGAGAAAUCUCAAUAUAUAGCAUAAAAUAUUUGGCCCCAUACGUUUUGGUGUUUGGGGCUUUGACAGGUUUUCUUUGAUCUGUCACAUGAUAUAUUUCUAUAUUUCACAUGACAUAUUUGAUAUAUUUCUAUAGUAUCCAUUUUUUCUAAAAUGAUUAAAAACCUCUCUUCACAUAAACAUUACAUGAGACAAAAAAACAAACAAGUAAUAUGUAGAGAAAUAUUG